GGAUAACUUACCCUUAGGACUGGGAUAACUCUGGGAAACUGGGGAUAAUACUGGAUAUUAGGCUAUGCCUGGAAUGGUUUGCCUUUGAAAUGUUUUUUCGCCUAAGGAUAGGUCUGCGGCUGAUUAGGUCGUUGGUGGGGUAAUGGCCCACCAAGCCGAUGAUCGGUACGGGUUGUGAGAGCAAGGGCCCGGAGAUGGAACCUGAGACAAGGUUCCAGACCCUACGGGGUGCAGCAGGCGCGAAACCUCCGCAAUGUACGAAAGUGCGACGGGGGGAUCCCAAGUGUUAUGCUUUUUUGUAUGACUUUUCAUUAGUGUAAAAAGCUUUUAGAAUAAGAGCUGGGCAAGACCGGUGCCAGCCGCCGCGGUAACACCGGCAGCUCGAGUGGUAGCUGUUUUUAUUGGGCCUAAAGCGUUCGUAGCCGGUUUGAUAUGUCUUUGGUGAAAGCUUGUAGCUUAACUAUAAGAAUUGCUGGAGAUACUAUCAGACUUGAAGUCGGGAGAGGUUAGAGGUACUACCGGGGUAGGGGUGAAAUCCUAUAAUCCUGGGAGGACCACCUGUGGCGAAGGCGUCUAACUAGAACGAUCUUGACGGUGAGUAACGAAAGCCAGGGGCGCGAACCGGAUUAGAUACCCGGGUAGUCCUGGCCGUAAACGAUGUGGACUUGGUG
Molecule: ribosomal RNA, 671 nt
Filed under: uncultured archaeon
Lineage: Archaea
Description: bacterial SSU rRNA
Rfam family: Archaeal small subunit ribosomal RNA
Source: RNAcentral